RNAcentral lists this ribosomal RNA (378 nucleotides) under Acyrtops beryllinus (emerald clingfisn). RNAcentral's name for it is "partial 16S ribosomal RNA". It matches the Rfam family "Bacterial large subunit ribosomal RNA", at positions 1962 to 2502 of the family's 2925-position model. The record is from RNAcentral. Lineage: Eukaryota; Metazoa; Chordata; Actinopteri; Blenniiformes; Gobiesocidae.
CAAUCACUUGUCCUUUAAAUUAGGACCUGUAUGAAUGGCAAGACGAGGGCUUAACUGUCUCUUUCUUAUAAUCAGUGAAAUUGAUCCCCCCGUGAAGAAGCGGGGAUAAACCCAUAAGACGAGAAGACCCUGUGGAGCUUAAAACAUAAGGAGGGAGUAUAUCAAGUUAAUUAAAGACUAGUAAUACCGGCCCUCCCCCUGUUUUUGGUUGGGGCGACCGCGGAAGAAAGCCUAUCUUCCAUGAAGAUUAAAAGUACAGACUUUUACAGACAAGAACCACCGUUCUAGUAAACAGAACAUCUGACCUCCUGAUCCGGCUAGCCGAUCAACGAACCGAGUUACCCCAGGGAUAACAGCGCAAUCCUCUUUUAAAGCCCA